CAGUCGCCGCGGUAAUACAGAGGGUGCGAUCGUUAAUCGGAUUUACUGGGCGUAAAGCGUGCGUAGGCGGCUUCUUAAGUCGGAUGUGAAAUCCCUGAGCUUAACUUAGGAAUUGCAUUCGAUACUGGGAAGCUAGAGUAUGGGAGAGGAUGGUAGAAUUCCAGGUGUAGCGGUGAAAUGCGUAGAGAUCUGGAGGAAUACCGAUGGCGAAGGCAGCCAUCUGGCCUAAUACUGACGCUGAGAGACGAAAGCUAGGGGAGCAAAUGGGAUUAGAUACCCCCGUAGUCCCUGUCUCUUAUAC
This 301-nucleotide ribosomal RNA is filed under the name uncultured bacterium. RNAcentral's name for it is "partial 16S ribosomal RNA". It matches the Rfam family "Bacterial small subunit ribosomal RNA", at positions 509 to 807 of the family's 1533-position model. The record is from RNAcentral.